RNAcentral lists this long non-coding RNA (15177 nucleotides) under Daucus carota (carrot). RNAcentral's name for it is "long non-coding RNA (DCAR_LNC005915)". The record is from RNAcentral. Lineage: Eukaryota; Viridiplantae; Streptophyta; Magnoliopsida; Apiales; Apiaceae.
UUUGACAUAUAUUGUUCGUGCUCAGGUCCCUUGAAAGACUUUACUAUCCUCUUAAGGACAUCUUUGAUGGUAUAUUCUCCGGAGACACAAACUUUAGCACGGGUGCCAAAAUCUCUCAACUCGUUAGAGUUGUACAACUUGGUGGCAAGUGAAGUCUUGCCCAAUCCCCCCAUUCCAUGAAUGGAAAUGAUUUUAAGGGCCGGAUCCUCGCUAUUAAGUUCUUUCAUCAACUUUUGAAUAUCGUCCUUGAAACCAACCACAUCCACCUGUUUAUCAAUGGCACUUGUUCUUAUUAAGGUUCUCUCUUUCUGUUUUACAUCUGGACCGGCUAAAAUAUUGUCUAUUCCAUACUCGAGUCGCCUCUCCUUGAUCACACCGAUCUUUUUCUUGAGUGACUCGAUAUUGUUGCCAAUGUCAUAAAGCUGAGCUUCUUUCUUGCAGAUGCAAAUACAGUUGAGAAAUCUAUCCAUAUGACCUUGUUCCAGACUCGCUUGUCCAUCCUGAAAUCUCUUCAGUAUAUCCACGGCUUCAUUGGCAACAUCUCUGACAGUGCUUAUCCAUAGACGGAUUUCAUCUUCUUGCCUUGAUUCUGCACGAUUUACGGAAGCCUGGAGGAAGCCUAACUCUUCUUUGAGCCAGCCUAUAUCAUCUCUAACUCCUAUUCGUAUGUUAACCUGGUGCACAAGAAAAUUACCAAGGUUUUCAAUUGCAAAAGAUAGCACAGCAUCUGCCAUACUUCUCUAAGAAGUCAAAAAGAAAGGAUGGCUGGGAAAUAUUGGCAAAAGAGUUUGGUAGAAGGUCACUGAGGGAGUAAGACUACUUCAAAGUGGAACAUAUUAUUUAUUAUAAUUUAAGUUUAUAUUAAAAUAUUGAUUUGAGCUUGGACGUUCGAUUAGUGUGAACGAAACAUGGAGAUGCACAAUGAGACGAAUAAGUUUUUUAUGAUGCACAUGAGACAAAUAAGUUUUUUUUAAUAGCCAUGCGGAAUCAUAUGAUUCACUAAAUUGUCCUCUGUGCAUUUUAUAAAGAGUUUGGCCUUGAAAUUUGAUGCAACUUUUUCUUAUUUUCUUCUCCCAUGUGGCUGUGUUUGUUUUAUAGCAACUGCAAGUUGAGCUGAGUUAAAUAAAUUUAUACUAAAAUAUAAUUCAGGCCGCUCCUAUGUCUCCCUGGGAACUGUGUAGAUCUACCAAGCCCGCCCCAUAAAGCGAUAAAGAAUGUACUAUUCGAUGUUAUUUGGGGCGGUUCGACCUGGUUUAAAAGAAGUUAGUUACUGCUUAUAGGUAAGAAGUCACGUAUAAUUGAACAAUAAAUUUUCAUUCUUCUGUUUGGAUAAUUUUUUGAUAAUUUAUAACUAAUAGGUAUAGAAAUUAGUAUUAUAAUAAUAAAACUAGCGUAGAAGCAUGUGCAAGGUACGCCUACUGUUGUGUAAUAUGUGUUUGAAUAAAUGGUUAUAGACUAAUGUGUGUUUGAAUAAAAGUUUGCAGGCUGCAACAGGCCUGCCUUCAGAAAAUCCAAGGUGCUGUGCAAUACUCCCUCCGUCCCAUAUUGAGUGAGCUGUUUUGACUUUCACGGAGAUUAAGAAAAAGGUAGUAAGUUUAGUUGAAAAGUGAGUAAAGUUGUGGGACCUAUCAAUAUUUAAUAAUAGAUUUGAGAUAGUGGAGGAAGAUAGUGGGUGUAAUAGUGUUUAUAUUAUUAUAGAAUGGAGAUAGUGGAAGAAAGUAGUGGGUGUAAUAGUGAAAAGUAGUGUUCAAAAAUAGUAAGUAUGAUAGGUUCAUUCUUUUUGGGACGUCCCAAAAAGGAAUAAGGGUCACAUAAAAUGGGACAGAGGGAGUACAAAGCAGAAGCAAAUCUUGAUACUCUUGCCUUUAGAAACAAUGAAGAGGGUUGUAGAACAAAACCAGAAUUUCAAGUUUGUGAGUUAACAGUUAAUUUUUAAUUUUUCCUUUUCCGUGACGAAUUAAUUUGUUAGUUAACUGAGGUUAUUUACUUGAAUAUAUCUUCACUGAACCUGUUGUUACAUUACUUGUGUAUAUAUGCAGAAUUUCUGAUGAUGGGUGACGAUGAUCAUCACAAUGAUUAGCUAAAUUAAUUAAUCAAAUACACAACGCUUAUGAAACCACUGCAGAAUAAUUUUUUUUAUUUUGUGAUGCAUUUAUCUGACUAUAUAUAGGCAAAAUUUUGUGGCACUUGGUAAUAAGGAAAUACUAAAUUAUUACUAUGAUAUAACUAAACACUUUAGGUAUUGUUGAAUUAGACGGCUAAUUUUGAUUAGAGAUAGUCGAAUAUAUAUAUAUUUUUUCAGUCAGAAACGGUCAAAAUACAACUUCGAUAGUCUUAGGGGGUGUUUGAUAACUCUUAAUAGCCUCUUAAUAGCCAUUUUACUUAUUCGGUCAGAGAUUUAAUUUUUUUAACAGAUUAUCAAACGUGCUUAAUGAAACCAAAACACACUUAUUGGAUAAGAGCGUGGACUCUCGCUUAGUGGGUAAGAGAGCCUCUGAAUAGGGUUUUCCAAUGUAUACCCUCAAACUCAACCCUUUAUUUUCACCCAUCCUGCGUUUAUGCUAGCUGCUUUAACAGUGUGUUAUCAGAUACCCGUCACUUUUCUUCACUUUUCUUUAAAAAAAUAAAGAAUUGAUUAAUCUUGAUAUGGGCUAUAAAUAUAUAAAAUUAUAAAAAUUUUGGAUGAUUUUUAUAAUUUUGGAUUAAUUUUUUUAUGAUUUGGAUAAAAAUUUUGGAUGAUUUAUGAUGUGUUUUAGAUAAAAAUUUAAAAAUAUAAUUUUGAAAUUAUAGUUAUGGAUAAAAUUCCAAAAUUAUAAAAAUUAUAAAAAAUUUAACAUCAUAAAUCAUCCAAAAUUAUAAAAAUUUAUCCAAAAUUAUAAUUUUUUAAUAAUUUCGGAUGAUUUACAUUUUUGUAAUUUUUAUAAUUUUGGAUAAGAUUAUACUUUUUUUAUAAUUUUGAAUAAAAUUAUAUUUGUUAUAAUUUUGGAUGAUUUAUGAUGUAUGUUGGAAUUAUAAGGGUAAAAUGAUAAAUAUAUUGGCAUUCAGAUAUUUUAAUAUGAUUGUUAUCAAACAAUAAAUUUCUUUCAGUAAAUUUUUCAUUCAGGCAAAUUCUUCAUUCAGUGUAUUCAGCAAAUUUAAUGACUCAGCAUUUUUUAUUCAGUUUUAUCAAACAACCUCUUAGUCGAAAGUGUAGCGAUUGGGAUGAUCAAAAAGAGUAACUAUCCUUAUUCAAAAAAAAAAGAAAAAAGAGUAACUAUCCGGUUGAACUUUUAUAUUCGAGCAAAUUUGGUCAAAAAUAAUGUUUUCACGCUAAACUUUUUUUCAGAAACAAAAGGCAAAAUUCCCGUCUUCAAUUUAUUUUCGACCGUGAGUAUUUUCGACUGGGACUAGGCUGGAAAACCUUCGCUCAAAUUUUGGAGGGACAGAAGUGAAUGGCUUAUAAGCGGUUAAAAAUAGUCCACAAUUUUGACGGAUUUUUUCAACAGGUCUCUAAUUUGACUAAGUCUCGUCGUCACUUUUAACUUCGAACUAUUACCGUCGAAAAUAUAUGCGAUCAAAAUUAGCCGCUUUUCUUAUAUCACAUAAUAACGUGUUGAAGGGUAAUUGAAAUUUGAUAUGGUGAAACACAAACCGGAAUCACUAUUAUUGUUGUUAAAAAUCUUUGAUUUUCGGCUCUCCAUUGUAUCUUCUUUGUCUCUUCAGCUUACUCAUUUUUCGAGUUUGGUCACAUAUUCUGCUGCAUGCAAUGUUGUAUACAAUUCAGAAACUUGCGUUAAUAAUCAAAACAUUUGUCAGACUAGAUCCCAUCAAUAUUGAUCUCUUGUUUUAUCAUCAGAAUAUUUUGAUAUGGUUGUAUUUUGGGGUUGUAUACUUGUAUUCCCUCUACCGAACAGAUUGAUUCUGAAUUUUGUUUUGUUGAACUUUUGAAACAAAACUUUUGAACCGAAGUACUAAACAAUUUGACAGUUCAAGAAAGUUGAAUAUCAAAUUUUAUGAUUCACCUAGCGUUUUUGCUUGUGUUUUUUUUAAUAAUAAUCGUAUGAUUUUUUUGAAGUCAAGUUGUGUGUCAUGUGUUUUAAAGCAAGACUAAUAAAGUCCCAAGAUCCAAAAUCAUUAUAAUCAUGUUCCCGUUCAUUCUUUUUUUUUUCCUGACAGGUGAUUAUAAUCUGUAAGAUUAUAAAAAGAUUAUAUUUUAGAAAUAAUCAAUUUAUUUUACUUAAUUCAAUAAAAGAAAGAUUUUGGUAAGAGAGCAUUGAGGGAGUAAUUCAAAUGCAGAGUUGAAAGUGGAAUUUAUCAUUCAAAUUUAUUAUAAUUUCAAUUUUAAUGAAAAAUUAACGAAAAUUAAAGUACUCUGUGAUGUGCUACACUCGCUGAUUUGCUGGAUUCCACCGCAUACCCUGCGUGUCUGGGAUGCAUCAUGCAUAUUGCGUUAUUGUUAAGUUUGUCUUUUGUUUAUUAAAUAAUAAAAUUAAACAUAACUCUAUGAUAACAUUUUCUUUCAUAUGGGGUCAUCAGGGAGUUUUUUAAGAUACGCAUGAAGAAAAAACACAAAAAUACAAACGACCUAAUUAUUCUUAUUAAACCUACCUAGGACACAUGUGGGGUACUAAAUAUAGAGAUAUAGACACAUAUCAUAUCACCAUUAUACUGCAUACUACCACUAUAUUUUAAUAAUAUUAAAAAGAAUAACAUAGUGUUAAUAAUCAAAUCCGAACCUAAUGUUAGUGACAAAAAAAAUCAGAACCUAACAUUAGUGAAAAAAAAAAUUAAUAGUUCAGUGGUAGGUUUCUAAAUAAAUAAUAAGUUUGAUGGUAAAAAAAUUUAUUUUUCCCUAAAAAUUAAUGUAUAUUUUUCAUUUCGAUUCUACUUUUUAAUUUUAUACUAAUUUUUUAAUAGUCACUAAAAAUCUUAAUGACUCAUGAAAUCAUGAUCAAUUUAUUAAAUUUUCAUGUGUACAUUCUGUAAAGAAGUUGGCCCUGCUUAUUUUCUUCUUCCCAUAUGAUUGCAUGUGUUUUUAUAACAAUCCUUAGUUGAGGUAGUUAACUUAAAUUGACAUGUUACAUUUUAUAAAGAAUUUGGUUUCAAAAAAAGAAUUCUAUAAUAGUCGCAAGUUGAGGCAAUUAACUUACAUUGACCUGUUACAUUUUUUAAAGAAUUUGGUAUUAGAAAAUUGAUGCAACCUUUUCAACUCAUAAGCUAAAAUUAUGCACAAUAAUGUAUGUGCAUACAUGUAAUGAAACAUAAAUUUAUAUGGACACAAGCAUGCACACGUAAUCGAGUUUUUAAAAGUAGUUUAAAUUGUUGAUGAGGGCACUGCAUUCGUUAUGUGAAGAGGAACAAAAAGAGAAAUUAGGCUUCAGACUCUUUGACUUGCCGGGAAACAACUAAUAUCUCAAUUACUCUGCCUGUUCUUGAAAAUAACUAUCGACGAACUUAACCAAUAUGUGUAACGAAAAUAAACAACUCAAGCACGCUCCCCACGGAUCCUCCUGGCCAGCUGAAUGUCUUUAGACAUGUUUGUCACACACUUAGAAUGAAUAGCGCACAAGUUAGGCUGUGUUCACUUGGAUGGAAUGGAAUGUGGAGAGAAUGGAAUGAAAUUUGCAUUAUAAAUUGGGAGUGAUUAGUGAAAUUGUUUAUUAUUUUUAUUCUUUCAAUCAUUCCAUUUUAACUAUUUCAACUAAAAAUCUAACCCACAUGUUUUGAAAGGAAUGUUGAUUCUAUUUCAUCAUUUUUUCUUAGCAUCUUCUUCAUGAAAUUUUUUAACUCACUCAUAUUUAAUCAUUAUUACUUUAUACUUUCUCCGAUCUUCAUAAAACUUGUCCAUGUAGUUUCAUUCCAUUCUGCCCUCAUUCUAUUCCAUGAGAUGAACACAACCUUAAUAUCUUCCAACAGGUUUAUUAGGUAUACCUCAGCUGCCUCCCGGAGAGUUAGGACCGCAUGGCUCUGAAAAUGCAAAUCAGUCUGCAACAACAAAUUAAAAUUGCAUGUUGCAAUAAAAUUCAAUACGAUAAGUGAAGAUACAAUAUUUAGGGUUGUUUGUUCCAAAGAAGCAGAAGCUGCUUCUGACUUCGGCUUCUUUUGCCCGUUUGCCUAAAUAAGUAUAAACACUUUUAAGAAGCUGAGAAUGCUAGCUUCUGAGUUCUCUCAGAGAGUAUCUGCUUCUUUUUCAAACACUUCAUUAACUUAUUUACUUCUCUCUUCUUAUCCACUUCUUUACUUUAAAUAAAAAAUCACCUUUUUUUAAACUGACCUAAACCCCCCCUUAGUUCUUCAUUAUCUUCUUCUUCCGAGCAUGUGCGGCCCAGCUGAUCAUCUUCUUUGAAAUAUGGGCAUCACUUACCCCUGGAUCAGACAUGGUAUAAAGCACAGCCAAUAUCAAGGGCUUGUUGGCAAGGGUAUGUUUUUGUCAGAAUAUAUGUAAGGUAUUUAAUUCUGAAAUAUAUGUAAAAAUAUUACUAGGCAUUUGCAGAAAUUAUUGGCAUUAUUUUUCACGAUCUUAUAAUAUUACAUAGCUAGCAUUCUUCAGAGCAUGUGCCACACCCAGCGGAGAGCAUGACCGGUUCGUCUCGAUUUCCGAAUAAUCGUAACCGCAAUUAUAUAUUAUUUUUAAAAUUGAUAACCAUAACUGCCGGUUCGUAUUUUGGUUUUGGUUUAAAAAACCUGACACGGUUAUAACUGCUUGUGUUAAACUUGAACAGUAUAUUGUAAUCCCAGAUAAAUUUACAUUGGCCCGGUUUAUAAAAUAUACUAAUACAUUUACUUAUUUGAAAUUGUUUAGAUUUAAUAAAGUUUUACUGACAUUCAAUGAGCAGGGCAAGCAGCAUGAAGCACCUGCGAAAUUAUCCACCUUAUUAUUUGCAAUUGCUUUUCAAGGACCUCUCUGUAAUCGUCUUAUCAAGCAGGUAUAUGAGUGUAUCUAAUUAUGUAUACGUAAACAUUUGACUAAUUAGAAAAUAUUUCAAAUGCAAAGACUUCUAUAAUUAAAUAAGCGCAUUCCUAUUUUCAGCAGAAUAAUAUGAUCUCUGGCCGUUCAUUUCAAAGUGACGAUUAUCAAAGGUUCCUGUUUAAAGCAGUUGAACGAACUUUGUAGCUUGUUGGGUGAUGCGGAGAAGGUGUUCGAUAAAUUGCCUGUAUGAAGAUUUUUCCAAUUGGUGAGUUUACGUGACAAUAUUUGGUUUUCUUGGAUCGCUACUAAGAACUUUUUAUGCUUGUAACCAUUGGGUCUUUUAAAGUGCUUGGCAUGUCUUAACUUUAUUGUGUUUUUGGAGAUUUUGAUCUCGUGCUAGUUAAGACUAGUUUUAUAUGGAAAUCGAUCUUGGAACCUAGAAAUUGAACCGAGUUUGGGCUACCUUAAAAUUAAGUGAUUGAUUUAGGAAUUUGGGUCUGGGGCUUAGUUAUGGAACCUAAUAUAUUGAGAUCAUCGAGAUCAUUACAAAGAUUAGCUAAAUUAAUUAAUCAAAUACACGCCGCUUAUGAAACCACUGCAGGAUAAAAAAAUCUAUACUUGUGAAUUGUGAUGCAUUUAUUUGACUAUGUAUAUCAGAUAUUUUGGUCCGUGUGCUGAUUUUAGAAAAACAGAUAUUUAAAAAUGAAGGGAGUAUUAUCCAACACUUUCAACUUUUAAUUAAACCAGGUCGAUAUGAUAUAUUUAAAACUGUAAAUAUGAGAUAAUCAUGAAAUGUUUCGUCUUUAUAGAAAUAAGAACAAACAAACAAUGCUAGAAUUACUGAUACCGAACGAUUCUUAGCCGGGACUGAUAUCUUAUUUAUCCUGUUUAUUCUCUGACAUAAAUAUCUACCAACUUAAACAAUAGGCAGAACGAAAAUAAAUAAACUUUUAAUAUAAUGUUGAAGAUAAGUAAAGAUACAAGGUACAAUCGAUUCUCAGGCACCCGAUAAAUAUUAGGUUAUUUUCUGGCUGUUAAAUAUCUAACGGUCAUGAUUAUACUAACAUUUUUUAAUAUGUCAUGUUCAAUGGCUAAAAAACACUGAUUAUAUUAAAAUUUUAUUAUAAUCCUGGGUGCGAAUAUUUAUCUUACGGUCAAAAAUCAUGUUUUUUUGACAGGUUCGUGGCAGUCUAACUGCCAGGAAAAAACUUGAAAUUUUUGCGCAGGUAUAUGAGUGUAUCUGAUUAUGUAUAUGUAAAACAUUUGACGUAAUCAGAAGAUAAAUGAAAUGCAAAGGCUUCUAUAAUCAAAUAAUCGCAUUCCUAUUUUCAGCAGAAUAUGGUAACUGGCCAUUCAUUUGAAAGUGACGAUUACCAAAUGUUCUUGUUUAAACCAGUUCCAAGAAAUUUGCAGCUUGCUGGGUUGUGUUUGUUUUAUAGCUACUGCAAGUUGAGCUGAGUUAAAUAAUAGAUAGUGUACGAGGUUAUUGAAAUUCACAGUAUUAAUCUUGACCCAGUCCUAUCUAUUCUUAAUAAAGAAUGGAGGUUUGUUUGGUGGCUAUCAAUAUUCAAACCCCAGCUAAUUUUAAUAAAUAUAUAUAACUCAGACAGCUCGAAUAUCUCCCUGGGAACGGUGUAGAACUGUAGAUCUACCCAGCCCGUCCCAUAAAACUAUAAAGAUUGUACUAUUCAAUGUUAUUUGGGGCUGUUCGACUUGGUUUAAAAGAAGUUACUUGUCACUUACAAUUAAGAAGUAAAAUGUUAAUUAUAAGUGAAAGAUAAAUUUUAAUUUAUUUGUUUGGAUAAUUUUUUAUGAUAAUUUAUAACCAAUAGGUAUUAAAAAUUAGUAUUCUAAUAAUAAAACUAGCUUUAAAGGUUGUAGACUAAUGUGUGUGUGAAUUAAAGGUCAUGCAGAUUGCUGUGUAGUUUUCUUCUCUCAAAGAACUUAUGAAUCACAAAUUUGUCAUUGUAGGAUGAUUGAAUCUUAAUUUUGAAGAUCUACUUCAAAUGAUCUCCACUGCAUCAGGCAUUUGUAUAUGAUGCAAUAUAAAACCAAGGUGCUGUGCAAUACAAUGCAGUAUUUCAAAUGUGAACUCAACAAUAUAUCUUCUUAGUGGUUAACAAUACUACAUGUAAAGAUAAUGAUAGUGAAAUCAAGAUUCAGAUGAUAUGGAUAUAAUAUCAUUUUAGACAUAAGAAAGUUUGAUAAUCACAACACUGCAUCAAAUUUUAAAUUGUCAGAGUAUUGAAAUCAAUCAUGCAGUUCUACAAUUCAUUUUAUGCUAUUGAGUAUUGUGUUCCCAACGGAUGACAGUAUAAAAUUUCAGAGCCGGAAAGAAUUUAUCCCUCCUCUGUUAAUAGACCAAAAUUAAGCAAGAUACAAGAAAGCACAUCCAUAAAAGGGUUUGUUUAUCAUCAAAGAGUUUAUUUUUUCCGGUGUGUGUUCAUGGGCACAUGCUAAGCACUAAAUUUUAUGUAGGACCUGGGUCAACAGAGCAUAAACCCUUAACCACUGGGCUAUCCAAUCGUGCUCAUGUAUUUAACUAAUUUUGAUUGGCUCCUACUUUGUAAUAAUGGUUGACCGUUGACCCUUCUGCAUAUACAAAAACUUCACCAAUCAAUUUGAGCUAAAUGCAAAGAUUUUAGUGCUUAGUAUGUGCCCAUGAGCACAAACUAGACAAAAGCGAAAAAUAUAACAAUUCGAGAGGGGAUACAAUAAAUAUUAAAAAUAUCACAUAGUCAUAUAAUCAAAAUACAGUUACAUUAAAUCAACUAGCAGUUCGAGUAACAUUAUUGCUUUCUUAUAUUAAAUCACAUUAAUCUACUAACUGCAAUUAUUUAUAGUUUAUACACUGGUCUAAUAGAAAUCAGGGUCUCUGGCUCAAUUUCAAAUCUAAAAAAAUUGUCCAAACAUUGUAUUUAGGCUUCAGAAAGCGCAGGCAUCCGAUUUCUGCAAAGCUUAGUUGGUUUAGUAUUAUGCUGCCACUGUUCAUAACUUCCAUGACUCUUUUUUGCCCUAACAAACUCUCGUGAGAAGGUGGAUGCUCAUGGUAAAGUUUUCAAGUGUAAGGUAUUUUUCUGUCAGAAUAUAUUUCAGAUAUUUUAAAUAAGCUAGUAUCAGUAAAGUCAUCUAAGGAUCGCAGAAAAUAAAACGCAGCUGAAUCCGCAAGGCGGAAAGUUUCACAUUUACAUCAAUAUUAUUGCAUAAGACUAACUGAUUAUAAUCAGCUAUUUAAAAUUAAUCUGAAGAUGGUUCGUUUCAAGCCUCCCAUAAUUCAUAAUAUCACCCAAAAAAAAACUCAAAGUAUUAUGAACUCUUUAGGCCUGACGGAGGCAUGGUGGGUGAAAGGAGCCCAAAUCACAAUUUUUAUGUCAUUUGUAAGUUUAUGCAGCGUGCAUAAAGAUAUAUAAAGAUUAGACGUAAAUUAGUAAUUUGUCUCGUGUUAUGAACAGUGCCGACAUUUCAAACGAGAAACGUUUUUAGAGACGGAGGGAGUAUAACUUAAGUUUGUAUUAAAAUAUUGAUUUGAGCUUGGACGUCCAAUUAGUGUGAACGAAACAUGGAGAUGCACAAUGAGACAAAUAAGUUUCUUAAGGUCACAUGAGAAGAAUAAGUUUUUUAAUAGUCAUUAGAAAUCAUGAUUCACUAAAUUGUCUUGUGUACUUUUUAUAAAGACUUUGGCCUUGAAAACUGAUGCAACUUUUUCUACUUAUUUUCUUCUUCCCAUGUGGUUGUGUUUGUUUUACAGCAACUGCAAGUUGAGCUGAGUUAAGAAAAAAUUUACUAAAAUAUAAUUCAGGCAGCUCCCAAUUCCCAUGUCUCCCUGGAACUGUGUAGAUCUACCGAGCCCGCCCCAUAAAGCGAUAAAGAAUGUACUUUUUGAGUUUAUUUUGGGCGGUUCGACUUGGUUUAAAAGAAGUUAGUUACUACUUAUAGGUAAGAAGUCACUUAUACUUGAAAAAUAAAUUUCUAUUUUUCUGUGUGGAUAAUUUUUUGAUAAUUCUUUACUAAUAGGUAUAGAGAUUAGUAUUAUAAUAAUAAAACUAGCGUAGAAGCAUGUGCAAGGCACGGCUACUGUUGUGUAGACUAAUAUGUGUUUGAAUAAAAGGUUGCAGGCUGCAACAGGCCUUGCCUUCAGAAAAUCCAAGGUGCUGUGCAACGCAACUCAGAAGCAAAUCCUGAUGCUCUUGCCUUUAGAAACAAUGAAGAGGGUUGUAGAACAAAACCAGAAAUUUCAAGUUUGUGCCCUUUCAUGGGUUGUUGAAGCUGAAAUGUCACUCCAUUGAAGUGACCGAGUACUCAUGCUUAUUAUUGAGCCCUGUAAGCUAGAGUCCUCUAGUGGCAAGCAAAACCAGGAUAUGUGUCUAUCACAAUCCUCUAAUGGUUGGCAAGCAGAACCAGGACUUUAGAGAAGUUGAAACAGUCUUCUAAUGACAAACAUAACAGUCUCUUCCAAUCUAUUUCUUCAAAUUCUUCUCCAUCUCUUAUCUUUCCUUCUCGCUUCUUCUUCUACCUUUACAACAGAUCAUCUUCCUUUUUACUAGCGUCUAAUCAUCAAUCCAUUAUCUUCAAGCUAAGAGUUCACAAAGUUCCCACUCUUUAGCUUGAGGGGGAGUGUUAAGGGAUAAGAUAAAAGGCUUUUAUGGUCUUUCUAUCCAGAACAUUUGUUUUUACUAGAAUUUAGUAUUGUUUGUAACCUUCUAUAUAUACUGGAGAUGUAAUAACUAUACGAAGACAAGUAAAAAGAAAUGUAGUCAAUUAAUUUCUCUUCUUUCUUGUUCGUGUGUUGCUCUGUAAGUUUGCAACUAUGGUUCUCACCAUCACUGACUUAUAAAAUCAUCAGAAGAUUCUGUUGUUCCUUGAAGAGAACUAACCCAAGCUGCAACAAAAAUAAUAGCUUACAAUUCUAUAGAUUCACCUUAUAGAGUUAUACAAUGGUCAUUUAUUACAAAAUCAUUUCAAUUCAUCUAACCCUUAGACCUUGUAACGAAGCUAAACAAUCUGUUAAACCUAAGAUCAAAUCUUAAAGAAAAUCUUCUAUAGUGGACAAACAUCUGCUAUACAUUCCAAGAUUAUUAAUAAAUAUAUCUUGAAUCAUCUUAAGUAACAAGCUUCGAAGGCCUACAACACUCUUCAUAAAGUCACAAACCAUGUUUCCUUUGGCCUUUUAACAUGGCAGUUAAAAAGAAUUUGUCAGGUUCAGAAUAUAUUAUAUUAAUCCUGUUAGGCAGUCUACUUCUUUAAGGAUUUAAGUUCAAAUCUUAACAUUUAUGCGGUCAAUCUUAUGCAGAAGCAAACCUACAUAGCAUUUAAGACAUCUGCAAAAAUAAUAAUAGGCAUCUGCAGAAUUUACUGGCAUUAGAUUCAGCGAUCUUGCAAUAUUACAUAACUAGCACAAAAGAACUUUUGUGGCAUUUUCAUUUCGUUCCUUUAAUAGUGGCUGUUUGAUGUGGAGGAAAGAUCACAUACAAUGUUAAAGCCAGUUUCAGUAAAGUGAUCUAAGGAUCGCAGCAAGAUUAUAACGCGACUGAAUCCGCAAGGCUGAAAGUUCCAGGUUCACAUCAAUAUUUUUGCAGAGAAAAUACAAACAAUUAAUUAACAUUAGGAAUUAAUUAUUUAUUAAAAAUAAUGGAAAUAUCGUAUAUAUACAAUCAAACAUUCACAAUAGAAAAAAAAAGUUAUCAUUUUGAAUAAUAAAUUUAAAUAAAAUACUGAAACGUCUAAAGUUUCAAUACUAAAAUUAUGUGAUUGUUUAAGGUAAUUGCUCCAUAAAGAAGCUGAGAAUGUUAGCUUCUCUCUCACAGCUUCUGCUUCUUUUCCAAACACUUUAUUAACUUAUUUACUUCUCACUUCUACUCCACUUCUUUACUAUAAGCAAGAAGUCACUUCUUUUAAGCUAACUUAAACGGCCCCAAUGUAACUAAAGAAAAUAAUGGAAUCUUGAUUAACCAAGUAUCUGUCCAAAUAGUCUAAAGUGGAGAAACAAAUUCAUUUUAGAAUGAGACUUUAAUCAUCAACAAAUAGAAUUAAAAUUCUUCAAAUUAAACAAAAACAAAAUACAUUCAAAUUGAACAUAAACAAAUUACAAAUUUUAUGAUAUUGUAAUGUGAUGCACGAGUGCCGAGAAUCUUCCAGGGCGUUUCUAAGACUUCUAGUUGGUUUGGAUCAAGAUACGUUCUAGUUGGACUGGAAUGCUCCUCAGCUCUCCACACCGAAUUGUUCUAAAACUUUCGAGGCAAGGGAGUGCUCUGUCCUCGACUUGCAAUUCUUUUAGAUCGGUGAAAUAUCGUAGUCUUAAACUUUGAAGACUUGGAAACGCAUUUUUACUGCAAACCAUUUUGUUCCCCUCAUACACUACAUACAAAUCAAGAGUCGUAAGAUUCCGUAAAUUUCCCAAGCUGGGCAUUGGAUCUUCAGUGAACCUACUAUGAGACAGAUUUAAAUCCUCGACUGAAUUUGGCAGAAAACGGAAUUCUGAUAGUUCUAUAACACCCCUUAAAGUUAUGCUCUUGAGACGAUUCAAAACCGAAAACGGUUUCAAUGUUGAAAUAACGACAUCAUGACCACACUCAAAUAUGAACGUUUGGAGAUUUGUUAAAUUAGCAAUGGAUUCAAAAGUGCGACCUCCUCCUCCCUCUCUAUCUCUUAUAUAUAAUGUACAGAGGUUAGUGAAAUUGACGGUAUCAAUCUUGACCCAUUCCCUGAAAUCUAUACCAGAAAAAGAAUGGAGCUUUGUUUGAUGGCUACCUAUAUUCAACCUCUCGCUAAUUUCAAUGAAUAAAUCGUACAAAUGCCUCAGCUCAGGCAGCUCCCACAUCUCUUUGGGAACUGUGUAGUAACAAUCAUGGUGCCCACCCCAUAAAGAUCGUAACUUUUUCAGCUUGCCUAUACUUGCUGGCACUGCUAUUGUUCUCCUGACGGUACCCAUUAAGCCUAAAAACUUUAAAAGAACCAGUUCCCCUAAUUCUUCUGGUACACUCUUUGAUGCUACACACGACAUAUCUAGCACUGUGAGAUUUUUAAAUCCAGUGUACAUCAACUUUAUUUCUUUUAAUUCCACUUUAAAUCUAUAACCUGCCAACAUUAGGGAAUGCAAAUAUAAAGCAUCAAAUCUACGCUGCUCAAGUAAUUUAAGGUACUCACCAAUUUCAUCGUAAAUAGCAUGACGCCGUUGUCCUUCCAAUAAAUGGAUGAGAUUUGGCUGGUGUUUACUUGAAUCAAAAAUAACCAACAAAUUCUGCUCCUUUGCUUUUUUUAUGGCAAGUUCACGCACAAGAUCAUGGACCCGGCAUGUGACAAUUUUCCCAUUCAAUUGCCAAUACUCAAUCUGAAUCAAGUUGCGAUUAAUUAGCUCGUUCAGACAAUCCUCGGCCAAAUCCUCCAUGAGUACUCCAUCUCCUUCUUCAUCUUCUGAUAUGAAUUCCUCUGCAAUCCAUAAGUGCUUCAAAGGUUCGACGAAAAUGAUUUUAUCUUCUGGAUAUCUUGCAAGGUAGAGAAAACAAUCUCUCAAUUGGGGAGACAAGUCUUUAUAACUCAAGCUUAGUAUUUCUACAAUAUCCACAGAGUCAUCUGUCAAGUUUCUCCAGAUAAGCUCCUUCACCUUUGACCAAUAGUCGUAGCUCUUGUUGUGGAAUAAAAGGCCACCCAGUAUCACAAUUGCAAGUGGUAAACCUCCACAUUUACCAACCAUCUCCCUUCCCAAGUUCUCCAAAUUCUGGUUUGGUUCUGCUAUCUUGCAGAACAAUUCCCAGCUUUCCUCUUCCCUCAAAAGACGAAGUGGAUAGGCUAAACCAUUCUUGAUAUCCACAGUCUCUGCGACUUUCUUGUUUCUUGUGGUAAUGAUGAUCCUACUACCGUUGUCCUGGUUUGGAAAUGCGAUCUUGAUCUGGUUCCAAGCGUUUAUAUCCCAUAUAUCAUCAAUAAGUACCAAAUAGCAACCUUCAUUCUGGAGUAACUGUGGUAGGUAUUGUAGCAAGUCACGCUCAUCCAUGUUUGACAUAUAUUGUUCGUGCUCAGGUCCUUUGAAAGACUUUAUUAUCCUCUUAAGGACAUCUUUGAUAGUAUAUUCGUUGGAGACACACACUUUAGCACGGGUGCCAACAUGUCUCAACUCGUUAGAGUUGUACAACUUGGUGGCAAGUGAAGUCUUGCCCAACCCCCCCAUUUCGUGAAUGGAAAUGAUUUUAAGGGGCGGAUCCUCGUUAUUAAGUUCUGUCAUCAACUUGUCAACAUCCUCCCUAAAGCCAACUACAUCCACCUUGUUAUCAAUGGCGCUUGCUCUUAUCAAG